This 48-nucleotide transfer RNA is filed under the name Elephas maximus (Asiatic elephant). Its description in RNAcentral is "partial tRNA-Phe". Lineage: Eukaryota; Metazoa; Chordata; Mammalia; Proboscidea; Elephantidae. The record is from RNAcentral.
GUUAAUGUAGCUAAUCAAGCAGGGACUGUACUGAAAAUACCUAGACGA